AAAAAUCUGCCUGAAAGGAGAAGGGACCUUUCCCAGGAUCCACUUGGACCUGCCCAGGAACAUCAAAGGCAACGCCAAAUAUGAGAAGAUCCUCCAAAAGGCCCAAGAAAAGCUGGACAAAGGCAGCCAGAGAGACGAGGCCAUUGCUCUGGGGGAGGCUGUGGCAGCCGAGCCCCGCAUGGACGACUCGGGCACCAUGUGGGAUGCUCAGCUGCAGAUGCAGAUGGAGGAGAUGCUGAUGGAGGAACAUGCCGUGGAGCAGCAGAAAGCUCUCAGCUCCCAUCCCCCAGAGGACACUGCCUUUCACCAGCGU
Melopsittacus undulatus (budgerigar) is the source of this 313-nucleotide long non-coding RNA. RefSeq lists it as uncharacterized. NCBI's taxonomy places the organism in Eukaryota, Metazoa, Chordata, Aves, Psittaciformes, Psittaculidae. The transcript has 3 exons. The record is from RefSeq and is a predicted model, not a curated record.